ACCCAUGGAUAGUUAACCUAGUCCAAAGUUCAUACCCGUGAGGUAGUUCCGACAAAAUAUACGACGUCCUGCUGCUAACCAGAUCAUGCCGUGGCCUUGCGGUGACCUCGCUACACUUAUUUGAUGAGUACGUUACCAGCUCAAUAUAGUUACCCGUUCGCAUAUUAUCCAGGAUGAUCGCGGCAUCCCUUUGGAUGUUGGAUUAACUUGUCAACUUGGACAUCAACGGCAGACAUUACACCAGACUCGUUUUAACAUGAUUUUCCACUAUAUACAUACCUAAGGAUGCCAGACCUGCGUGCUGCUCAUACCACCUCAUGGGUUUGACCUGGCCAAGCCAGUUGUUGACGAUCUAUAAUAUCUCCAUGUUGACAUUGUCUUUCCUUCCUAUAAUCCAUAUACCUCUACUAUCUUUUCGUCUCUAUACGCUUGGCGCAGAACUACAAUUGACAUAGAUAUCGAACACGGUGGACGCAGAGACCAUCCGUGCGUGGCGAAUACCUUUACUCCAAGUUUUCCUCAAUUGUCAAGUUUGGCCGCAUUAGCGUUUACAAACCGGUAACCAUUUUCACUCGAUAUAUCAAAGAGCAGAGCCCUUCAGUGUAUGUACAUACACGUACAUCCAUGGGUCACAUGGAAACGUUCCUACGGGGACAAACGGGCUUCUGUGGAAAACAAGCUUCCAUGGGAAUGGUUUGUGGAUUUUUCUAAAGUUAGUUCCUUCCGCAGCUGAGGGAAAACUGGUGAGUGAGUGACUUGACCUUAUUUUUGAUAUUCAUACAUGUCCAUGGCGAAGCUCGCUUGAAGCUUUUUCUCGGACCAGUCGUUCUCAUUUCGGUAACUAUGGCUUUACUGCAAUAUCUGCUCAUCACAAUAAUAGCGUGACGCCCAGCCUGAGCGAUGUUUACCUUGCACACGCUAGAAAUUUAAACGGAAAUAUCAAUACUGGAGCUCAAUGAAUCAGGUCCUCACAGGAUACGUAGGUUAUGAGGCCUUGAUGCCUAACUCGACAGCCAAGCUUUAGGCACCAAGCCCCUAAACUCUUCCCACUCACCCCACCCUCCUCCCCCGACUGUUAGGGGGCUUGUCAACUGGUAGUGACAUGCUUCCCAUACCAAUUUCUAGCACACAACUAUGUACAGUACUUUGGUAUAUAAUUAACCCCCUGAUGUCCUAGGCUUAGUUCUAAAUCCGGCGCUGGGUAAUCACGCAACCUGUAUAGAAAAUCCUAUACGAAUCAAGGCUAUACAAACACUGUCACACUGGAUUAAUGGGCAGCGGAGAAAUUUCAGAAGCUUCGGCGUGAAGUAUGUAUAAAGUCGAACAUCGCUCCUUUCACUAAGCCUUCGUUUUGUCUGCGAUAGUUAGACCGUAUUUCUAUCGUAUUCUAUACAUAUCCUUGUUUUCCUGCCAAUUGUCUUUCCUUUUCCUCCGGCCUGUUGACUUUCUUCGUACUGUAGUAUCUCGCAAAACAAGUUGGUUGCACAACAUUCAGUGUGACUUCCCCCCGCGAAGAACAAAAGUACGGAGAAACUUGUGCUGCUAGUUGCAGGCCUGUCAGGCCAGUAACUUAGCAUCCAGGGGCGUUAAGUUGGCGUUUUCAGCUUUGAAAGUGGUUU
This 1619-nucleotide small RNA is filed under the name Histoplasma capsulatum var. duboisii H88. RNAcentral's name for it is "Histoplasma capsulatum H88 hypothetical RNA". Lineage: Eukaryota; Fungi; Ascomycota; Eurotiomycetes; Onygenales; Ajellomycetaceae. The record is from RNAcentral.